UGUCCAAUGCGGGAAUCGAACCCGGGUCGUAGUGGUCGAAAACCAAAUGGUUUAACCAGCCUUCCACCAACCCGGCUAAUUGUAU
This 85-nucleotide transfer RNA is filed under the name Cordylochernes scorpioides. Its description in RNAcentral is "tRNA-Glu". The record is from RNAcentral. Lineage: Eukaryota; Metazoa; Arthropoda; Arachnida; Pseudoscorpiones; Chernetidae.